RNAcentral lists this long non-coding RNA (464 nucleotides) under Heterocephalus glaber (naked mole-rat). RNAcentral describes it as "lncRNA (ENSHGLG00100033085.1)". Lineage: Eukaryota; Metazoa; Chordata; Mammalia; Rodentia; Bathyergidae. The record is from RNAcentral.
GAAUGUUUUACGCUGGCCAUCGCAUUCCCGAGCUGCCACAUUCCCUGUUCUGCUCCGCUCUGCUUCUGACCCAUCUGUUGGCGCUUCUUUGCCUGGAGCUGCAACCUGGGGUUGCCUGUCACCCACAUUCUGCCUUCACUGCCUCGCCCUGUGCCAAUGACUUCAGGGCGCCUGGCUGGUCACGCAGUCCAGGCCCGCCCUGCCACACUUUCCCACACAGCGUCCACCUAGAUCCCUGCAGCCACCGUCCUGGGCCUACCGCCAGGCAGUGCGCCCUCCAGUACCCGUGGCCCGUCCGCUCUGAUGCCCUCCUCCUGCAGAUGCCAGACGUGUCCCACUCUGUAGGUGCUGCUGACCCUUCUGUCUGUUCAAACGUCUCCCACAUGCUGUUGCUCCCAGCACAGGUCUCACUAAGUCACCAAGUGGCCCAGGCUCAGACUUGCAGCCCUCCUGCUUCAGCCUCC